CAAUAGCGUAUAUUAAAGUUGUUGCAGUUAAAAAGCUCGUAGUUGGAUUUCUGGUGGGAGCGAUCGGUCUGGCGCUUAGCGCGAGUACUUGCAUCGUCUCCGGCCAUCCUUGGGGAGAGUCUGUCUGGCAUUAGGUUGUCGGGCAGAGGAUCCUCAUCGUUUACUGUGAAAAAAUUAGAGUGUUCAAAGCAGGCUUAUGCCGUUGAAUACAUUAGCAUGGAAUAAUAAGAUAGGACUUUGGUACUAUUUUGUUGGUUUGCGCACCAAAGUAAUGAUUAAUAGGGACAGUUGGGGGUAUUCGUAUUCCGUUGUCAGAGGUGAAAUUCUUGGAUUUACGGAAGACGAACUACUGCGAAAGCAUUUACCAAGGAUGUUUUCAUUAA
This 383-nucleotide ribosomal RNA is filed under the name uncultured eukaryote. RNAcentral's name for it is "partial 18S ribosomal RNA". It matches the Rfam family "Eukaryotic small subunit ribosomal RNA", at positions 592 to 976 of the family's 1831-position model. The record is from RNAcentral.